Molecule: ribosomal RNA, 424 nt
Filed under: uncultured bacterium
Lineage: Bacteria
Description: bacterial SSU rRNA
Rfam family: Bacterial small subunit ribosomal RNA
Source: RNAcentral
GGGGAAUUUUGGGCAAUGGCCGCAAGGCUGACCCAGCGACGCCGCGUGCGGGAGGACGCCUUUCGGGGUGUAAACCGCUGUCAGGGGGGACGAACCGCCGGGAGACGAACAGGUUUCCGGUCUGACGGUACCCUCAAAGGAAGCGCCGGCUAACUCCGUGCCAGCAGCCGCGGUAAAACGUAGGGGGCCAGCGUUGCUCGGAAUUACUGGGCGUAAAGGGUCUGUAGGCGGUGCGGUAAGUCCGGAGUGAAAUCUCCAGGCUCAACUUGGAGGCUGCUUCGGAAACUGCCGUGCUCGAGUGUGGGAGAGGCGCGUGGAAUUGCAGGUGUAGCGGUGAAAUGCGUAGAUAUCUGCAGGAACACCAGUGGCGAAAGCGGCGCGCUGGACCACAACUGACGCUGAGAGACGAAAGCUAGGGGAGCAA